UACGUAGGUGGCAAGCGUUGUCCGGAUUUACUGGGCGUAAAGAGCGCGCAGGCGGUCGUUCAAGUCGCGUGUGAAAGCCCCCGGCUCAACUGGGGAGGGUCACGCGAUACUGAUCGACUCGAAGGCAGGAGAGGGUAGUGGAAUUCCCGGUUUAGUGGUGAAAUGCGUAGAUAUCGGGAGGAACACCAGUGGCGAAGGCGACUACCUGGCCUGUUUCUUGACGCUGAGGCGCGAAAGCUAGGGGAGCAAACGGG
RNAcentral lists this ribosomal RNA (254 nucleotides) under uncultured bacterium. RNAcentral's name for it is "partial 16S ribosomal RNA". It matches the Rfam family "Bacterial small subunit ribosomal RNA", at positions 524 to 776 of the family's 1533-position model. The record is from RNAcentral.